GAUGAAGAACGCAGCGAAAUGCGAUAAGUAGUGUGAAUUGCAGAAUUUAGUGAAUCAUCGAAUCUUUGAACGCACAUUGCGCCCCUUGGUAUUCCAUGGGGCAUGCCUGUUCGAGCGUCAUUUGUACCUUCAAGCUUUGCUUGGUGUUGGGUGUUUGUCCUGAGGGACUCGCCUUAAAGUAAUUGGCAGCCAGUGUUUGGUUUUGAAGCGCAGCACAAGUCGCGAUUCAAAGCUAUACGCCCGCUUCCACAAGCCUUUUUCACUUUUGACCUCGGAUCAGGUAGGGAUACCCGCUGAACUUAAGCAUAUCAAUAAGCGGAGGA
This 323-nucleotide unclassified non-coding RNA is filed under the name soil metagenome. Its description in RNAcentral is "partial contains 5.8S ribosomal RNA, internal transcribed spacer 2, and large subunit ribosomal RNA". The stretch from base 1 to 120 matches the Rfam family "5.8S ribosomal RNA", at positions 35 to 154 of the family's 154-position model. The record is from RNAcentral.